Molecule: long non-coding RNA, 235 nt
Filed under: Nicotiana benthamiana
Lineage: Eukaryota; Viridiplantae; Streptophyta; Magnoliopsida; Solanales; Solanaceae
Description: long non-coding RNA (NBEN_LNC031667)
Source: RNAcentral
GAUCCUUAAGGGAAACUACAUCCAUCCAUCAUAACUCAGAACCACUCCAGAUAGAUCCUAUUCAUGGCAUCUCAUUGAUGCUAUUCCAUAUGUGCAAACAACGUAGAUCUUACGUUGUAGCUUUGAUGAUAUGCCAUGAAUAAGGACUUAUUUGCAGUAAGGUUUUUGACCCACUUACGAGUGACCAGAAUUAUAAAACAUGGAGAUAUAUUUAACCCAGAUUGCUACAUUUUUU